AGAUUGAACUCCAAUAACGAUCGUUUAUCGAUUAACGAUAACCGCUAUUGAGGUAGUAUCAGGGGUAAAUAAUCCGGAAUACAUUAAAUCGAAAGAGGAAGUCAGUAUUACAUUAAAUAUAUCAAGUAAAUUACGGUUUGAUGAAUGUGUUUGUGUUUAUCUAACUCAAGAAUAUGCAAGGAAACCGUGCAGAAAGGUUCAAACAGAUAUUCGUCAACUUGACAAGCGAAUGCUGCAAGCUCUCCGUAGACACAGAUCUGAAAGAUAGCGUGCUAAGGAUCGUGAAUGGAGGACAAGAACAUGUGAAUACGUGGAAUGAUUCAAUUCGACAUUCAUGUUGGGGAAUCUAUCAGCAAAAGGUCGUUAUAACGAGAUCCCAAACCGUACACGAUGUUGACACUUCUGCGGUUUCAAAUGCUAUGUCGAAAAUGAUCGAUUCCGUUAGAAAAGCCAAUAAUAUAGAAUCGUCAUACAUGAGUCAAAUACGUGAAUGCUUAGAGAAAUGCAAAGGUUUGACACGCAUAAAGCAGGAGACGAUUGAAGGGUACGAACGAAACAUAGCAGAUUUGGAAAAUAAAAUCAGGAUAGCAGAGACAGCCAUCAAGACGUUGCAGAGAGAAGCUACAGAAUUCAACGAACUUGCAGAUCGACUAGAUGAUCGAGCGCGUGAGCUUGAUAAUAAGUGGUGGUUUACAAAGAUAGCUACUGUUGUGAUAGGGGCACUAUUGGUCACGUUGACAGCUGGUUUGAUUUUGACUGUGGCGGCAGUUGCAUUUUUGGGAAACUUUAAUUUAAAUACUGCGUCUGGAUGUCGCGAUGGUGCGCGAGAGGCUAGGCAGAAGGCGAAGGAGAAAGGAUAUGAAAUUGCAAGACUGCGGAGCAAUGUUCAAGCAUAUCAGGGUGAAGUGACAGAGCUGCAAGAAAAGAUUCCCAUAGUCAAAGCGGAUAUUGACACUAUAAACAGAAUAGAAAGAGAAUUGAUAAAUUUGAUUCAAGAGAUAGAAUCGUUGGACAUUCAGAGAAGUUCAGACCAUGUCCUUGGAAUGUUGCAGUUUUGUGCAGUACGACUUACCCAUGUCGAAGCUGACUCUCAACUUCAAGACUUUAAGAUUCCAAACAGUCCGCGAGCAUUUCGGGCCAUGGUGCCGGUGACAGAACCGUGCUGAAAUCGGACAUGGAAAGUUUAUGCUUGGGGGAUUAAUGGCGGAACAGUUUGAUACAUAAAGGUGGAAUGGACCACAAUGGAAAGACAACUCACCGAAUGCAGUAUGCCGUUCUCGGAUUUUAUUUUCUGAGUUGAAUGUGAAAAGGUUUCAGCUCAAUGAAAGACUUGGUGUCGAUUUGAACCUAUGUAAUCAAUCAAGCAUACCUAGAACGAGCAUAUUUUUUAAAACCAACAUUUUGUUUUCAGCUUUGUGAAUUUCUUUUUGAAAGUAUCAGGAUAGUGUUUUAAACCAAUUAUCUCGGAUUAUAUAAAUAAAUGUACUAUUAUCAUGCCAUUUAAUUUCUCUCUAUAUAUACAGUAUUUUUGGCAAUAAGAAAAGUUGUUUCAAUAAUGCUUUGCAAUUGAAACUUUAAGAUGAAACGGAUACGAAAUAUGACUAUGUAAAGCUUGUUAACAGACGGCGACGAUAUGAUACUUAAAUGUAUUAUUGUUUUAAAUCGCACAUGCUUCGAUACUUAUAAUAAACGUAGUGUGUUUGUAUUUAUAGCAUGAGAACAUAAUUGUACAGAGUAACAAUAAACAAGAUUUUGUUUUUAAAUAAAACGUUUUUAAUAAUAAUCGUUGCCGUUUUUUAUACUACCAAAAGUACAUAUAUUUUGCAACAUUGCUGUCGUAAAUUCUAUUUCGAUAUUCGUCAAAAUAUUUACAAAGCGAAUUUGACAAAUUUCCCAGACUACAUUUACUGUAAGACCUCGCCACAUCUGGUAUAUGUAUCCGUAGUAAUAUUCAAUACACGUGCAUGUCUGUUUUUUAAAUUCUGAAUUACAUGUUGUUCCUAGUUGGAAUCUGAUAUGUUAUAGUAUUAUUUUGUACUAUUUUAUAUUUUGAUGUUCUAUAUUAUAUAACAACAAAUUUCGUCUGGUAACUUCUUAUUUUAGUAAGUUGGUACAAUAUAUCCUUGAGUUAUGUUUGUUUUACUGUAUUUUUUAUUUAAACUGAUAUGCUUUA
Molecule: RNA transcript, 2173 nt
Organism: Dreissena polymorpha
Lineage: Eukaryota; Metazoa; Mollusca; Bivalvia; Myida; Dreissenidae
Exons: 9
Source: RefSeq, a predicted model, not a curated record